Molecule: transfer RNA, 62 nt
Filed under: Matrona basilaris
Lineage: Eukaryota; Metazoa; Arthropoda; Insecta; Odonata; Calopterygidae
Description: tRNA-Cys
Source: RNAcentral
GGCUUUAUAGUCAAAUUAUGAUGUUAGGUUGCAAUUCUAAAGUUGUUUAAAAACUAAAGCCU